RNA transcript from Beta vulgaris subsp. vulgaris (sugar beet), 1483 nucleotides. RefSeq lists it as hypothetical. Lineage: Eukaryota; Viridiplantae; Streptophyta; Magnoliopsida; Caryophyllales; Amaranthaceae. The transcript has 4 exons. The record is from RefSeq and is a predicted model, not a curated record.
UUCAAUUUUGUCUUAAAAAAGUAUGGUGCAGCACAUUGAAUUUCAUUUUUUUCAAUUUUUUAUUGGUAAAGUAGCAACAAUAAACUCAAAUGUCAUGUUUUGAUUGGUUAUCAUAAAGCCCAAAAGCUGUUCUUGGUAAUUGGCAUGUUUUAGCCUUCUCUCCCCACCUUUCAAUAAUUCAAUCUCUCUCUCUCUCUCUCUCCAAACGUGAAUCUCAUCAUUGAAAACAAAUUCAUUCUUUACUUAAAAUCAGUUCAUUCUAAACUACCAUAAUCACUUUCUUCAACCUCUCAAAUUUUCUCUAAUUACAUCUUCCAAAUUUGAUUAAUUUCAGUAUUAUUAGUUAAUUAUCACCCCUGUUUAAUGUUCAUAUAAAAAAACCCAGAAGAAAAAAAUGGCAAAAUGUUUCAGCUUCACAUCUUCAAGAGAUAGUUGCUACAAAUAUUCAUUUGAAAAAGCAGGAUUAAAAUCAGUGACAACAAAUCUAGGAGAUGGUACAACAAUGCAUUGUUGGGCACCAAAAAAACCCAAAGAAAAUAAAGCAAACCUUGUAUUAAUCCAUGGUCUAGGUGCAAAUGCUAUGUGGCAAUGGGAUUAUUUUAUCAAUCCAUUAAUCCCAAAAUUUAACGUUUAUGUUCCUGAUCUCGUCUUCUUUGGCGAGUCCUACACGACUCGGUCCGAUCGGACCGAGUCGUUUCAAGCUCAGUGUGUAACGAAGAUGAUGAUCAAUGAGUUUUGUGUGAAGAAAAUGAGUGUUUGUGGUGUUAGUUAUGGUGGAUUUGUAGCUUAUAGUAUGGCAGCUCAGUUUCCUGAUGAUGUACAAAAGUUGGUUCUUGUUUGUUCUGGAGUUUGUGCAGAAGAGAAAGAUAUGAUUGAUGGAAUGUUUAAGGUUUCUAGUGUUGAUGAUGCAGCCGCAAUAUUACUACCUCAAACUCCUGAUAAAUUGAAGGAAUUAAUGAAGCUUUCUUUCUAUAAACCUGCUAAGUUUAUGCCUCUUGCUUCCUCACUGAUUUUAUUCAAGUGAUGUGCACAGAAAAUCUAGUGGAGAGAAGACAGUUGAUAGAAGCCUUGCAUAAGGAUAGGAAACUUGCUAACCUUCCCAAGAUAAACCAGACGACAUUAAUCAUAUGGGGAGAACAAGAUCAAAUAUUCCCAGUAGAACUUGCUCAUAGAUUAAAGAGGCAUAUAGGUGAAAGCGCGCAACUAGUCAUAAUCAAGAAAGCAGGGCACGCAAUUAACAUAGAGAAGCCCAAAGUGCUUUACAAGACCAUGAAGUCAUUUCUCAUUGAUUCGCCUCCAAAAUCUGAAAGCAACGGCAAUAGUAAAUAAUGUGAAAUAAAAAACUUAUUGUACAAUUUUUCAAAAUGAUGAAGGGAUAGAGACGAUUAUAUGUAUGUCGUAAAUUUAGAGAGUAUACAUGAAGUUUUUACUAUACUGCAAUGCCUGAUGGUUUAAUUAUAGAGCAACAUAUUGGUUAAGUCAA